CUAACAAGGAUUCCCCUAGUAACGGCGAGUGAAGCGGGAAGAGCUCAAAUUUGAAAUCUCCGAUGCUUGCAUCGGCGAGUUGUAGUUGCGAGAAGCACUUUCUAGGCGGAUCGGCACUGCCUAAGUUGCUUGGAACAGCACGUCACAGAGGGUGACAACCCCGUCUGUGGCAGUGGCGGCCGCUGACGAUGUGCUUUCGAAGAGUCGGGUUGUUUGGGAAUGCAGCCCAAAAUGGGUGGUAAACUCCAUCUAAAGCUAAAUACUGGCGUGAGACCGAUAGCGAAGGAAACGAAUGGACUCAGCAAUGUGCCGUUUGAGAUUCAGCCGCGCGGGCGGGUGCGGCUCGGGGUUUGCGGAUCUGAAUGGACCGCGGUCUCGGGCUCGUCUCCCCCCGCCGGCGCACUUCUCUUGGGCGCGCGUCAACGUCGGUUGGAACUGGGCCUGAAAGGUGCCGGGAAGGUAGGUUCGCACCCUCGGGUGCGGACUGUUACAGCCCGGCUCUUGCGGCUCGGGUCCGACCGUGGCGGUUGCAGUGCAUGCCUCUUGUGGCUAGGGUCCCGCCCUUCCGGCCGGUCGUCGAACGCGGUGGACUGCUUGCAGUGCUCCGCGACCGCUGCCGGUCGUUGGGGUGGUGAUCU
Molecule: ribosomal RNA, 638 nt
Filed under: Madracis formosa
Lineage: Eukaryota; Metazoa; Cnidaria; Anthozoa; Scleractinia; Pocilloporidae
Description: eukaryotic LSU rRNA
Rfam family: Eukaryotic large subunit ribosomal RNA (bases 1-281)
Source: RNAcentral